UACAGAGGUCCCAAGCGUUGUUCGGAUUCACUGGGCGUAAAGGGUGCGUAGGCGGUCGGGUAAGUCUGAUGUGAAAUCUCACAGCUUAACUGUGAAACUGCAUUGGAUACUAUUCGGCUUGAGAGUUGGAGGGGGGACUGGAAUUCUUGGUGUAGCAGUGAAAUGCGUAGAUAUCAAGAGGAACACCAGUGGCGAAGGCGACGUCCUGGACCGGCAUUGACGCUGAGGCGCGAAAGCCAGGGGAGCAAACGGG
Molecule: ribosomal RNA, 253 nt
Filed under: uncultured bacterium
Lineage: Bacteria
Description: partial 16S ribosomal RNA
Rfam family: Bacterial small subunit ribosomal RNA
Source: RNAcentral